This is a long non-coding RNA of Heterocephalus glaber (naked mole-rat), 1227 nucleotides long. The record is from Ensembl. Lineage: Eukaryota; Metazoa; Chordata; Mammalia; Rodentia; Bathyergidae.
GAGAUGCCAAGCACUACAUGAGGUACCAGGCAUACCUCAGUAAAAAUAAUCAAGCGUGGCCUUUGUCUCUGUGGAGUCAACCAAUCAACAAAUAUAUGCUUAUUUAAACACAUCAUGGAUAUGGCAGACUGUGGCUCUGUCUUGGCGCUCUCUCUCUCUCCCUCUCAUCUCUCACUGUGGAGGAAGCCAGCUGCCAUAUGUGAGCUGCCUAGGAAGAGACCCACAUGUCCAGGAACUAAAACCUCUGGCCAAGCUCAGGGAGUAACUGAGGCUGCCCGCAGUAAGUGGGUUUCAAAAUGGAUACUUUGGCCCUGAUGCCCUGAGAUCCCUGCAGCCUCAACCGACACCUCAACUGCAAGCCUGUGAGACACCGGAGCCAGGAGCCCAGCAAAGCUGCUCCAGGUCCUCAGGCCUCAGAACUUGUGUAAGACAGCAAAUGUUAUAAGAUGCUAAAUGGUGGUGGUGGUGGGGUUGUUAUUUGGUGAUAGAAAAUCAAUACACUGACCUAAUAUGAGAUUUUUUAAAUCAUAAAGUUAUAAUGAUUUAAGUACUUCGGCAUUUAACCUGUAGUGUGUAGAAUAUGCAUCAAUUUAUUGAAGAGGAUUCAUGUUUUUAUAAGAAUUUUCAUGUAAUUAUUGCAAUUGUGGUCAAAUAAGGAACAUUUUCUGCUUGAAACUGUAUUGAUUUAAAUGAUGUGUGAGAUGUUUCACCAUUUUCAGGCACUGUGUAAUUCUAUUGUAAUAAACUGGCAGGUAUCUUUGUAACUAUAAAUAGUGCAUGCUCGGCCAUGUACACUGCAAAUAGCCUUUACCAAAUGUGUUUGACAAGGACCAUAAUUAACAUCACUUAGUGAGUUGUGAUAAAGAAAAAAGCCAUGAUUUAUUUGAUGUGACUGGCUUAAUUGUUUCUAUGUGGCACCAAGAAUGAAACUGUUUAACAGCUGUAACCAAUGGUACUGAUCUAUCCAUCCAGUGUUGUCUUUAUUAUAUUUGGUUGUGGUUUGGUAGUAUUACAUUGUCAGACUAGGAAGGCUGAAGAAACAGAGUGGUUUUAGUUUUGCUGAAGACCGGCCUUAUUCAUGGACAGCUUUCCUAACAAGCAGUUACUAACUUUUAUCAGGUGUUAACAUCUGUUCAGGAACAUGGGAGUAUGUUUACAUGUCAGAAGUUUUGUUUAAUUCUAUGGUAUUUCUAAAUUGAUUUGUUAAAAUAAAUUCAGCAAAUGGAA